This 468-nucleotide ribosomal RNA is filed under the name uncultured bacterium. RNAcentral's name for it is "partial 16S ribosomal RNA". It matches the Rfam family "Bacterial small subunit ribosomal RNA", at positions 28 to 507 of the family's 1533-position model. The record is from RNAcentral.
GACGAACGCUGGCGGCGUGCUUAACACAUGCAAGUCGAACGGAAAGGCCCUGCUUUUGUGUGGUGCUCGAGUGGCGAACGGGUGAGUAACACGUGAGUAACCUGCCCUUGACUUUGGGAUAACUUCAGGAAACUGGGGCUAAUACCGGAUAGGAGCUCCUGCUGCAUGGUGGGGGUUGGAAAGUUUCGGCGGUUGGGGAUGGACUCGCGGCUUAUCAGCUUGUUGGUGGGGUAGUGGCUUACCAAGGCUUUGACGGGUAGCCGGCCUGAGAGGGUGAACGGCCACAUUGGGACUGAGAUACGGCCCAGACUCCUACGGGAGGCAGCAGUGGGGAAUAUUGCACAAUGGGCGGAAGCCUGGUGCAGCAACGCCGCGUGCGGGAUGACGGCCUUCGGGUUGUAAACCGCUUUCGCCUGUGACGAAGCGUGAGUGACGGUAAUGGGUAAAGAAGCACCGGCUAACUACGUG